This 469-nucleotide ribosomal RNA is filed under the name Dicranoloma reflexum. RNAcentral describes it as "eukaryotic LSU rRNA". The stretch from base 1 to 79 matches the Rfam family "5.8S ribosomal RNA", at positions 75 to 154 of the family's 154-position model. Lineage: Eukaryota; Viridiplantae; Streptophyta; Bryopsida; Dicranales; Dicranaceae. The record is from RNAcentral.
CAGAAUUCCGCGAAUCAUCGAGUCUUUGAACGCAAGUUGCGCCCGAGGCUUGACCAAGGGCAUCCCUGCCAGAGCGUCACCGCGACACCCACCAAUCCGCUCCCAGCUAGCUGGCUGGGAGCGCGACUGAGUGAAACUGGCCAUCCGAAUGGGGGCCACGCCACCCGGGGCUUCGUGUGCCUUGGGUGGGGUGGCAGAUUGGGUUGGCUGAGAUUGGAGAGAAUUUGGCCGCCGUGGUGACACAGCCCGCGAUCAGGUGAUCCGGGUCUCAUCUUGGAACCUUCUAGGUGUGGUGCUGUGUCUCCCAGUUGGUACGACGAGGAUUCCAAAGCAGGUCCCGGACUCCCCCGCGCCCCCCGCAUCUCCCUGCCUUGCGCUCGGAGGGAGGGAGGAGGAGAAGAGGAGGGAGUGUCCCGAGGUGUGACGUCACGCAUCAGACCUCUGAUCAGGGAAGACUACCCACUGAAUU